Molecule: long non-coding RNA, 1263 nt
Filed under: Equus caballus (horse)
Lineage: Eukaryota; Metazoa; Chordata; Mammalia; Perissodactyla; Equidae
Description: lncRNA (ENSECAG00000058969.1)
Source: RNAcentral
UAUAAAUAGCAGUGUGUUCUCAGGUACACACUGAGAGUCAAUAUUAGUAAAUGGUAGAGCUGGAGGUGAAAGGGAAAUGGAGGAGAUUCCUGUGAGCUCACCUAGGAAUCCUGAGCUUCAUUUUACAGAUCCACUAACUGAGGCUCGGAGAGCUUAAGCAUAGUGAACUAGUCUCUGGAGUCACUGUGCUUGGGUUCAGAUCUCAGCUGCUACACUCACUACCUGUGUGACCUUGGGCAUGUGGAGAAGCAUGCAUAUUAUUCCACCGAAAACACCCUCUGGACCUACGUGAAAGGACUAACCUAAAGUCAAGCACAGAGAAGAGAUAGAUAUCAUCAAAUUAGAAAGUACAAUACAACUGUGUUCUCUUUUUCCCCAAUAAACAAUAAAGAAGUGGGGACUACAACCUCAAAGUGAACAAACACAGAGAAAGCAGAGAUCCUAAUAUCUGAUGACUUUGAAAGAUCUUUGAAGAGGAACCCAUCUCAGAAUUCAAGAGAGAUCUGAUUUUAAUUCCCAGCUCUACCAUCAAAAAGUCCGGUCUGCUCCCCAGUGUCUCUAAGUGUAGAGAGAGAAAUUCUUACCUUGGCUAUCAGCUAUCGCCAAACUUACUGUAAUGAAGAAACGAAGUUACAAUUACGACAGGAAUAUCAAAAUGCCAUGAGGAUGCAGGAUUUUAUGAUCUAUUCCAAGAAAUAAGAUGAUAAGGAAAGUUUGUAUGCAGUAGAAAGAAUAUGGGAUUUGGAGUCAAAGUUAUGUCCAAAUUCUGAGUUGACCCUUAAUGAACUGUGUUACCUUAUAAGUCAUUUAACACCUCAGCCUUAUUUUUCACAAUCUUACAAUAUCUACUUCAUGGAAUUAUUAUGAAAUAUCAGAUAAUACAUGUAAAGGGUCUAGAAUUGUGUAAGGCCCAGAGUGGGUACUCAAUGAAGAUUAGGUAUUAUUGAAAAGUGUUAAAUAAAACAUAUGAGGCGAAGAAGGCAGAAUGCAGAACUAAUAUUAUGAUCUAGUUUGUGAGAACUUCAUCCUCCUAGCUCCACGAAUAGAUUACUUACCGUGGAGAGGAACAUAAACUUCAGGAUGUAAGAUCAACUUUAUUUGUUAAUCUUUUUUUUUAACUAUUUAACAGUUUUUUUAAUUUUAACUUUUUUUCAUAAUAGUUUACAUCAUUGUGAAAUUUCAGUUGUACAUUAUUUCUUGUCUGUCACCAUAUAAGUGCUCCCCUUCUUCAUUCCCUAUGCCUAUCCCCCCCACCCCCCUUCC